Molecule: long non-coding RNA, 319 nt
Organism: Monodelphis domestica (gray short-tailed opossum)
Lineage: Eukaryota; Metazoa; Chordata; Mammalia; Didelphimorphia; Didelphidae
Source: Ensembl
AUCCUCCUUCUGCAGUUCCACCUGUUGAGCUCUAUUCAGAUCGGAGCCAUCCUGGGACCACAAAGAGAGCUGGGUAAGAGCAGGUGUGGACACAGCAUGGACUCUUUAUUUAGUUCAGCUGAACUUUUUCUGGCCACGGAGGGAAGGAAGAGAGGCUCAGAAGAAAGGGUUCAAUCACCUGGGACUUGCACCGAUUAGCCAUUUCCCUAGCUUCUCCAUUCUGCUUGUCACAGAAGAAGAAGGCACUUGUUGAUGGAGUGCCCUUUGUCAAAGGAAGCUUUCUGAAGCUCAGGCUUCUCCUGAAGUACAUGGUUCAGAU